AGCUUUGCGCAGUGGCAGUAUCGUAGCCAAUGAAGUUUAUCUGAGGCGCGAUUAUUGCUAAUUAGAAAUGCUAGAAAGAAAUCU
This 84-nucleotide small nuclear RNA is filed under the name Erinaceus europaeus (western European hedgehog). RNAcentral describes it as "U4 spliceosomal RNA (ENSEEUG00000019054.1)". The stretch from base 1 to 70 matches the Rfam family "U4 spliceosomal RNA". Rfam says of the family: U4 small nuclear RNA (U4 snRNA) is a component of the major U2-dependent spliceosome. The structure of U4 snRNA from yeast and human has been reported. The record is from RNAcentral. Lineage: Eukaryota; Metazoa; Chordata; Mammalia; Eulipotyphla; Erinaceidae.